UNUGACUUGAGUGCAGAAGGGGAGAGUGGAAUUCCAUGUGUAGCGGUGAAAUGCGUAGAUAUAUGGAGGAACACCAGUGGCGAAAGCGGCUCUCUGGUCUGUCACUGACGCUGAGGCUCGAAAGCGUGGGUAGCGAACAGGAUUAGAUACCCUGGUAGUCCACGCCGUAAACGAUGAGUGCUAGGUGUUAGGCCCUUUCCGGGGCUUAGUGCCGGAGCUAACGCAAUAAGCACUCCGCCUGGGGAGUACGACCGCAAGGUUGAAACUCAAAGGAAUUGACGGGGGCCCGCACAAGCGGUGGAGCAUGUGGUUUAAUUCGAAGCAACGCGAAGAACCUUACCAGGUCUUGACAUCCCGAUGCUAUUCUUAGAGAUAGGAAGUUACUUCGGUACAUCGGAGACAGGUGGUGCAUGGUUGUCGUCAGCUCGUGUCGUGAGAUGUUGGGUUAAGUCCCGCAACGAGCGCAACCCUUAUUGUUAGUUGCCAUCAUUAAGUUGGGCACUCUAGCGAGACUGCCGGUAAUAAACCGGAGGAAGGUGGGGAUGACGUCAAAUCAUCAUGCCCCUUAUGACCUGGGCUUCACACGUGCUACAAUGGUCGGUACAACGAGUUGCGAGCCGGUGACGGCAAGCUAAUCUCUGAAAGCCGAUCUCAGUUCGGAUUGGAGGCUGCAACUCGCCUUCAUGAGGUCGGAAUCGCUAGUAAUCGCGGAUCAGCACGCCGCGGUGAAUACGUUCCCGGGCCUUGUACACACCGCCCGUCACACCACGAGAGUUUGUAACACCCGAAGUCGGUGAGGUAACCUUUUAGGGGC
Molecule: ribosomal RNA, 814 nt
Filed under: uncultured bacterium
Lineage: Bacteria
Description: bacterial SSU rRNA
Rfam family: Bacterial small subunit ribosomal RNA
Source: RNAcentral